UUAUUUACAGGUAUGUGCUUAUGAACAUAUCUUUUAAAAUAUGUUUAUUUAUUUUUUUAUAUCAAUUCAAUGAUUUCUGGUUGAUUAAUGCAUUUUACUUGUGAUUUAUUUAUUUAUCUUGAUAUGAUAAUUGGCUUUGUGUUUGGGAAAAUCAAUCUAAGCUUCAUAAUUUAACAUAGCAAUAGCCUUCUUUUGAACCCUACAAAUAAAUUUAUCAAAAAUUUAGAAAUUGAAAAUUAUG
This 241-nucleotide long non-coding RNA is filed under the name Zostera marina. RNAcentral's name for it is "long non-coding RNA (ZMAR_LNC000676)". Lineage: Eukaryota; Viridiplantae; Streptophyta; Magnoliopsida; Alismatales; Zosteraceae. The record is from RNAcentral.